RNAcentral lists this ribosomal RNA (442 nucleotides) under uncultured bacterium. RNAcentral describes it as "partial 16S ribosomal RNA". It matches the Rfam family "Bacterial small subunit ribosomal RNA", at positions 335 to 795 of the family's 1533-position model. The record is from RNAcentral.
GACUACCGGGACGCAGCAGUGGGGGAUAUUGCACAAUGGGGGAAACCCUGAUGCAGCGACGCCGCGUGGGUGAAGAAGCGCCUCGGCGCGUAAAGCCCUGUCAGCAGGGAAGAAAAUGACGGUACCUGAAGAAGAAGCCCCGGCUAACUACGUGCCAGCAGCCGCGGUAAUACGUAGGGGGCAAGCGUUAUCCGGAUUUACUGGGUGUAAAGGGGGCGCAGACGGCGAUGCAAGCCAGGAGUGAAAGCCCGGGGCCCAACCCCGGGACUGCUCUUGGAACUGCGUGGCUAGAGUGCAGGAGGGGCAGGCGGAAUGACUGGUGUAGCGGUGAAAUGCGUAGAUAUCAGGAGGAACACCGGUGGCGAGGGCGGCCUGCUGGACUGCAACUGACGUUGAGGCCCGAAAGCGUGGGGAGCAAACAGGAUUAGAUACCCCGGUAGUC